Long non-coding RNA from Grus americana (Whooping crane), 671 nucleotides. RefSeq lists it as uncharacterized. The record is from RefSeq and is a predicted model, not a curated record. The transcript has 3 exons. NCBI's taxonomy places the organism in Eukaryota, Metazoa, Chordata, Aves, Gruiformes, Gruidae.
UUGGGGAAAAAAAACCCCAAACCUUUCCAGCAAGUGGUUUUGUUAAUGCUGCCGUGCUGCGCGUGGCUUCUAGAGCAGCACCGAGCCUGGGAUAACCGUCGUCUUAAUUCUCAGUUUAGGUCUAUUUACUUGGGCUCCAGCCUGGAGAGUGUCCUGCAAGUACAGCGGUUAUCCCGGGAAAAAGGAGAGAGAGGGAGAGUGCCAGCGUGCCGGGCGGGAAGGCACGGCGCUUCUGCUGGAGCGCGUUUCCGGGCUGCGACACACGCUUGGGGUCCCACCAUCCCCCCAGAGCCCCAGCUUCUCCGACUCGUGACCUUUGGGCUCCUCCUUCCCGGGGAUGAAUCCCGGUUUUCUCCAAGGGGCCGUCGCAGGCGGCACGCUUUCUUCCAGCCAGUUUAACUCACUUGAAAAGGCGUUUGCAUAAUUAAAUAUCUGCGCUGAGAGAAGCCACCCUGAACGGUCUGAAAGCCGUCUAAAUUCACUGUUUAAAAUAAAUAAUGCAGCAAGAAAGACACAGGAUCGCUCCUGCCGAAGGUGUUUGGUGACGCGGAGAACCUCGCCGGCCGUGAGGUCCACGCUGCCGGCGCGAUGGCCGGGGGCAGGGCUCUGCAUCGCAGCCCAGGCAGCGGCCAGGCGUCCGGCAUCGGGUGGAAGGCGUCUGCCUGGCGAUC